CCUACGGGAGGCAGCAGUGAGGAAUAUUGGUCAAUGGGCGCGAGCCUGAACCAGCCAAGUCGCGUGAGGGAGGACGGCCCUACGGGGUGUAAACCUCUUUUGCCGGGGAGCAAAGGGCGUCCCGUGUGCCGCCACUGAGAGUCCCCGGAGAAAAAGCAUCGGCCAACUCUGUGCCAGCCGCCGCGGUAAUACGGGGGAUGAGAGUGUGCUCCGGUUUUAUUGGGUUAAAGGGGUGCGUAGGCGGCUCGUUAGGUCAGUGGUCAAAUUGCGGGGCUCAACCCCUUCCCGCCUUUGAAACUGGCAGCGUUGAGUGCAGAUGACGUCUGAGGAAUGUGUGGUGUAGCGGUGAAAUGCAUAGAUAUCACGCAGAACCCCGAUUGCGAAGGCAGCUGACCAA
Molecule: ribosomal RNA, 397 nt
Filed under: uncultured bacterium
Lineage: Bacteria
Description: partial 16S ribosomal RNA
Rfam family: Bacterial small subunit ribosomal RNA
Source: RNAcentral